AAAAUGGUAAAGAUGACACAACAUAAAUUAACUGAAAUGGGCAGUUAUAUGUUAUACUUUUCAAUAUUUAUUCUUAAUAGGUUAUAUAAUAUUUUGUGCUGUGUAUAAUUUGCUCGUUACUGUUGGUGAUAUCAGAUAUUUGAUCUCCAUUUUCUUUUUUCGAUAUGCUUCAAUUUCUUAUUGACCUCAAAACUCUGUUCUGCUAGUAUCUAAACUAAUUCUUGAGUUAUUCAAGAUUGUGGCUGUUAUAAUUGAUGCUAUUCUCAGCAAUUCUGAAAACUACAAAAUUAGUAAUUGGAUCCCCAUUUUUUUUUUAUGGUUAGG
RNAcentral lists this unclassified non-coding RNA (324 nucleotides) under Hevea brasiliensis (rubber tree). Lineage: Eukaryota; Viridiplantae; Streptophyta; Magnoliopsida; Malpighiales; Euphorbiaceae. The record is from RNAcentral.